Molecule: long non-coding RNA, 247 nt
Filed under: Elaeis guineensis (African oil palm)
Lineage: Eukaryota; Viridiplantae; Streptophyta; Magnoliopsida; Arecales; Arecaceae
Description: long non-coding RNA (EGUI_LNC044635)
Source: RNAcentral
CACAGAGUGAAUAUAGUCCAUGAUGGAAGUGAGAUCGAGUGGCCUAGCUCGACUCCAACAUUUGCCCAUCCAUGAGAUAGCAGGCAUGUCCCAAGAUGUGGGGGCGAGACAGAUCAUAGACUCUUAAAGACAGAUGGAGGCCAAAUAUCAAGUCGAGAUGAAGAUUGUUGAGAAAAAUAUCUCGAGAUUCGAUCUAUAAUAAGCUUAGAACAAGAUUCAAAAUGAUGAACAAAAUCUAACGAGCCCA